GACUACUAUAUUAUUUUUCAAACAAUCCCAGUUGUGAUUUCACGUUUUUCCCCACAGGGGGCGUCAUCACUAAAUACACCUGCUGAGGUCCUGACACACAGUAGCCAUGCAAUGUACUUGCACACUGAUCAUACCGUCAUUGCUCUAAAGAUACUGUUAUCUUUACUGCCCUACUACUGUCUUCAUAUGUAUUAUGUUGCUGGGGGCAGAUCGAGACGUAGUGGACAGCACACGUCCCCUGGAGGACGGCUGGUAUGGGUAAGGCCUAAGAAUCAAAAGAUGUGGUUAAACACGACGUCAACUUCUACUCAUGGUAAACGUUCGCUUUGAUACAUACACUUUUUCACCUGGCUCCUUACAACUGCACGAAAACAUCAGACAGCCACCUCCGCACAGGGCAAGUAUGGCCGACGACCAGCCAAUGUACAAACCUUCUCCGAUCUCGUACCUGUGUCACAGUGAAAUUGCACAAAAUGAUCUGAUUUGUGUCUUGUUAAACUUCAAAAUCAAUCAAGUAUGCACUCUUACUUUGUCCCUGGGUAGAACUGGUCAAAGAAUUCCUGUGUGAUGUUGGCUGCAUACCAAGAUAUAGCGAUCAUGGUGCACAUCCCUAGAAAAGUCCACAACAUUUUUUUUAACACAAGGGGAAAACAACAAAUUACCAGACCUACGAUUUUACAUAUAAAAAAAAAAAGAUGUUUAUGGGAUAUUUUUUUGCAUAAUGUGGAAAUUAAUAGUGAAUGUUUUAAAAUGAAUGUGCAAUUAAUUUUCUUAUCUACACACUGUCCCUUUAAUGGCACAACUAAGUUUAGUGCAACAUUAGCUGACUGCAUGCGAUGUAUAUGCCUUUACACUGUACAGGCAAACAAGUGAUAAUAACCCUUGACCAGGUUUAAGAUAGCUUGUCUCCUGUACAUAGAUUAGAGUACCUGACAUGUUAGCUUUUCGGGUGUUGGAGGUAAUAGUGAAAAGGUUAAUUUGUGCUAUGGAAAGAAUUAAAAUCUAUGUAACAUUGACUUCGUGAGAUUGUUGUGGAAUCUGAGGAGUUGUUUUUUCCCCCAUGAUUACGCCAAAGCCACUUGACCUAUUUGCACUUCACUUUGUGGAGGGGUGGGGCACAGGAAUAGGAAAACAUGGUUUGUUUUGAUCAACACAUUUUUUUCAAAUCUCAAUUUCUGUAAUAUCACUCGAUUUUUUAAAGACAGAAUUUAGGAAGUGGAGGUGUAGGAUUUGUUUCAAAUGUUGGCCUUUCUGCUCUGUUAUGCACCACUGAAGUUCAUAAUUGUUUUUGUUCUUACCCUGUAGUAAGAAGAACACCCCUCCAAUUGCUGCAAUCCUCCCCUUUAGAAUGUAGUUUUCUCCUCCAAUUUUGGAGCACUGCAUUCCAACCAGAGUUCCCACCAGCCCAAACGUCCCGAACACAAUGGAAGCAAUCAUCAGUGCUCGAGAUGCUUGGAUGUACCCUGCACACAAACACAAAUGAUGAGUUUAUUGGAGUCGACACAUUAAAAGUUUUGAACACAUACCGCUUAGUGCGAGCAACGAAGGAAAAUCGCGGCAGUUGUGAAUUCCUAUCGAGUCAGUGGCACAGGACAUCCAGAGAUUCUCAUAGAUGGUGGAC
Molecule: long non-coding RNA, 1621 nt
Organism: Syngnathus typhle (broad-nosed pipefish)
Lineage: Eukaryota; Metazoa; Chordata; Actinopteri; Syngnathiformes; Syngnathidae
Exons: 4
Source: RefSeq, a predicted model, not a curated record